Molecule: ribosomal RNA, 605 nt
Filed under: uncultured bacterium
Lineage: Bacteria
Description: bacterial SSU rRNA
Rfam family: Bacterial small subunit ribosomal RNA
Source: RNAcentral
GACUCAGUAACGAAGCUAACGCGUGAAGUUGACCGCCUNGGGGAGUACGGCCGCAAGGUUGAAACUCAAAGGAAUUGACNGNGGACCCGCACAAGCGGUGGAUGAUGUGGUCUAAUUCGAUGCAACGCGAAAAACCUUACCCACCUNUGACAUGUACGGAAUCCUUUAGAGAUAGAGGAGUGCUCGAAAGAGAGCCGUAACACAGGUGCUGCAURGCUGUCGUCAGCUCGUGUCGUGAGAUGUUGGGUUAAGUCCCGCAACRAGCGCAACCCUUGCCAUUAGUUGCUACGAAAGGGCACUCUAAUGGGACUGCCGGUGACAAACCGGAGGAAGGUGGGGAUGACGUCAAGUCCUCAUGGCCCUUAUAGGUGGGGCUACACACGUCAUACAAUGGCUGGUACAGAGGGUUGCCAACCCGCGAGGGGGAGCUAAUCCCAUAAAGCCAGUCGUAGUCCGGAUCGCAGUCUGCAACUCGACUGCGUGAAGUCGGAAUCGCUAGUAAUCGCGGAUCAGAAUGUCGCGGUGAAUACGUUCCCGGGUCUUGUACACACCGCCCACCAUGGGAGCGGGUUCUGCCAGAAGUAGGUAGCCUAACCGUAAGGAGG